CCGAGUUUACCAACUCCCAAACCCCUGUGAACAUACCUGAACGUUGCCUCGGCGGGACCGCCCCGGCGCCCAUCGCGCGGCCCGGAACCAGGCGCCCGCCGGAGGACCCAAACUCUCUGCUUUCCCCAACAGUGGAAUUUGCUCUCUGAGUCUCAAAACAAACAAAUGAAUCA
This 173-nucleotide unclassified non-coding RNA is filed under the name uncultured Tolypocladium. RNAcentral describes it as "sequence contains ITS1". The record is from RNAcentral. Lineage: Eukaryota; Fungi; Ascomycota; Sordariomycetes; Hypocreales; Clavicipitaceae.